AUAUACAUAUGUACAUGAAAAAACACAUCUUUAUACACCACAGUCUCUAGUUAAAGUGAUCGUGAAACUUCGCGUUUCAAAGCACUGUUUGAAAAUGAAAUUACUCGUGAAUAUCCUGUUAGUAAUUACGCUAUCGAUGCCUAUUGUGAUUCUACCUGCAAUUUGUCAGGAAAAUCCAAUAAUGAUUUUACCAUUCCCUCAUCGUAUGAUGAUAUCGGCGCCGUAUAGAAGUGGUUGCCCACCAGACCAGAGGAAAGAUAAGCACGGAAAAUGUCGUUUGAGCAUUUAACACGCAAAGAAGAAGCCCUUGCCCGAGAGGUUACAGAAGAGUUAGCAGCAAGUGUCGUCGAAUCAUUUAAAAUAUAGAAAUAUAAGAAGAAUGAAAUUUCUUGUGAGGAUAUUGCUAAUAAUUGGAAUAUUGGCGAUUAUAAUUUCAUCUGUGAAACUUGUCAAAUGUAUUGAAGACGUAUUCCACAAAGCAUCAUAAUUGCUGCAAAUAAAUUUCUUUCUUGCCCAAAUGGUCUACAAAGCAUAAGCACAAUAAAUGUCGCCGAGUAUAAUUGCCAACAUACAGAGAUAUAAGGUAAUUAUUAAAAAUGUAAGAAAUAAAAUAUCCAAAUAUCUAGCUAUAUAAUAGAAUUCACGUUAAUCUUCUGUACUUUUUAUCUAUUUGUACUUUUCCUUUAUUUUCGUAUUCAGAUGUAAUUAGCUUACAUAUCAGCAUAUAAUUAUUUUCAUUUUGUUUGCUAUAUUUUCGUCUAUAUAGAGAUGUUAUUCUACUAUUUCAAAUACAUUAAAGUAAAUAAUUGUCAAGGUUGGAUAAGUUAAUCCUUUCUGUUAAUUAUGUUAAAUUAAGUUAAUGAGCUUCAGUUAAAAUUAACUUAAUUAUGUUGCGUAAACUAAAACUAACCUAAAUU
Wasmannia auropunctata (little fire ant) is the source of this 917-nucleotide long non-coding RNA. RefSeq lists it as uncharacterized. NCBI's taxonomy places the organism in Eukaryota, Metazoa, Arthropoda, Insecta, Hymenoptera, Formicidae. The transcript has 3 exons. The record is from RefSeq and is a predicted model, not a curated record.